CUUGCACCUGGUGGCGAGUGGCGAACGGGUGAGUAAUACAUCGGAACAUGUCCUGUAGUGGGGGAUAGCCCGGCGAAAGCCGGAUUAAUACCGCAUACGAUCUACGGAUGAAAGCGGGGGACCUUCGGGCCUCGCGCUAUAGGGUUGGCCGAUGGCUGAUUAGCUAGUUGGUGGGGUAAAGGCCUACCAAGGCGACGAUCAGUAGCUGGUCUGAGAGGACGACCAGCCACACUGGGACUGAGACACGGCCCAGACUCCUACGGGAGGCAGCAGUGGGGAAUUUUGGACAAUGGGCGAAAGCCUGAUCCAGCAAUGCCGCGUGUGUGAAGAAGGCCUUCGGGUUGUAAAGCACUUUUGUCCGGAAAGAAAUCCUUGGUUCUAAUAUAGCCGGGGGAUGACGGUACCGGAAGAAUAAGCACCGGCUAACUACGUGCCAGCAGCCGCGGUAAUACGUAGGGUGCGAGCGUUAAUCGGAAUUACUGGGCGUAAAGCGUGCGCAGGCGGUUUGCUAAGACCGAUGUGAAAUCCCCGGGCUCAACCUGGGAACUGCAUUGGUGACUGGCAGGCUAGAGUAUGGCAGAGGGGGGUAGAAUUCCACGUGUAGCAGUGAAAUGCGUAGAGAUGUGGAGGAAUACCGAUGGCGAAGGCAGCCCCCUGGGCCAAUACUGACGCUCAUGCACG
Molecule: ribosomal RNA, 681 nt
Filed under: uncultured beta proteobacterium
Lineage: Bacteria; Pseudomonadati; Pseudomonadota; Betaproteobacteria
Description: bacterial SSU rRNA
Rfam family: Bacterial small subunit ribosomal RNA
Source: RNAcentral